Molecule: ribosomal RNA, 442 nt
Filed under: uncultured bacterium
Lineage: Bacteria
Description: partial 16S ribosomal RNA
Rfam family: Bacterial small subunit ribosomal RNA
Source: RNAcentral
CCUACGGGAGGCAGCAGUGGGGAAUAUUGGGCAAUGGGCGCAAGCCUGACCCAGCAAUGCCGCGUGAAGGAAGAAGGCUUUCGGGUUGUAAACUUCUUUGACAGGGGAAAAGCAGAAGACGGUACCCUGAAAACAAGCUACGGCUAACUACGUGCCAGCAGCCGCGGUAAUACGUAGGUGGCAAGUGUUGUCCGGAUUUACUGGGUGUAAAGGGCGUGUAGCCGGGAAGGCAAGUCAGAUGUGAAAUCUGGAGGCUCAACCUCCAAAUUGCAUUUGAAACUGUUUUUCUUGAGUACGGGAGAGGCAGACGGAAUGCGUUGUGUAGCGGUGAAAUGCGUAGAUAUAAGGAGGAACACCAGUGGCGAAGGCGGUCUGCUGGACCGCAACUGACGGUGAGGCGCGAAAGCGUGGGGAGCAAACAGGAUUAGAUACCCCUGUAGUC